RNAcentral lists this long non-coding RNA (669 nucleotides) under Homo sapiens (human). RNAcentral's name for it is "non-protein coding HAND2-AS1:87". The record is from RNAcentral. Lineage: Eukaryota; Metazoa; Chordata; Mammalia; Primates; Hominidae.
AAUGCAAGUGUUUAACAGAUGCUUCACUAUUAAAAUAUUUUCCCCCCAAGUCUCAAAUAUUGAAGAAUCUCUAACCAGGGACACCAGUCCCUACGAAGACCUUGGGCGAUUUUGAAGUGCGGGCACCUCGAUUCCCCGAAUCUGUAGUGUGGCUGGUAUCGGUGUUCCCCUGGUUUAACUAGCCUGUUUGAAGGCACAGAUCAUUCAUGGGGAUGUAUAACCGAAACCAGUCCUCUCCACCGCCUGGGGAUCUUCACUUUCGCAGUCUACGACUGCCUGUGACUCCAGAAAGACAAACUGCAGAUUGGCCAAGUGCCUUUCAAACUGUUUUUUACUGGAUGAAGAAACUCAACCAAGAAAAUAUAUGUCGAUUCUUGUAUAUGGGACAAUAUUAGCUGCUGUGAUUUUUAAUACUAGCAUAAAAUAUAAGAAUCUUUUUAUUACUGUGAUAUUGUUUUUUCCUAAAUGAAUGCAUAGUGUAACAAUUGGUGUCAAAAAGCAUUGAAUUUUUUUCAGAUGGAUUAAGCUGGAAUAAUAAAGUAUAUCUAUGAGAUGAUUUCUGUAAACUCUGACUUGCUGAGAAAAAAGUGAAAAAGCUUUUUCUGGAAGAAACAUGGCAACUUAACCGUUAUUAAUCUGGACUAAAUAAAACAGGAAACUGCUUCUUUA